RNAcentral lists this ribosomal RNA (253 nucleotides) under uncultured bacterium. RNAcentral's name for it is "partial 16S ribosomal RNA". It matches the Rfam family "Bacterial small subunit ribosomal RNA", at positions 524 to 776 of the family's 1533-position model. The record is from RNAcentral.
UACGUAGGGGGCAAGCGUUGUCCGGAAUCAUUGGGCGUAAAGAGCGUGUAGGCGGCCAGAAAAGUCCGCUGUGAAAACUCGAGGCUCAACUUCGAGCUGUCGGUGGAAACUUUCUGGCUAGAGUCCGGAAGAGGAGAAUGGAAUUCCUGGUGUAGCGGUGAAAUGCGCAGAUAUCAGGAGGAACACCGGUGGCGAAGGCGGGUCUCUGGGCCGAUAUUGACGCUGAGGAGCGAAAGCGUGGGGAGCGAACAGG